UUACGUGGAGGCGCUGGUGGGAUACUACCCUAGCUGUGUUGGCUUUCUAACCCGCACCACUUAUCGUGGGGGGAGACAGUGUCAGGCGGGCAGUUUGACUGGGGCGGUCGCCUCCUAAAAGGUAACGGAGGCGCUCAAAGGUUCCCUCAGAAUGGUUGGAAAUCAUUCAUAGAGUGUAAAGGCAUAAGGGAGCUUGACUGCGAGACCUACAAGUCGAGCAGGGUCGAAAGACGGACUUAGUGAUCCGGUGGUUCCGCAUGGAAGGGCCAUCGCUCAACGGAUAAAAGCUACCCCGGGGAUAACAGGCUUAUCUCCCCCAAGAGUUCACAUCGACGGGGAGGUUUGGCACCUCGAUGUCGGCUCAUCGCAUCCUGGGGCUGUAGUCGGUCCCAAGGG
RNAcentral lists this ribosomal RNA (396 nucleotides) under Staphylococcus aureus. RNAcentral's name for it is "partial 23S ribosomal RNA". It matches the Rfam family "Bacterial large subunit ribosomal RNA", at positions 2176 to 2571 of the family's 2925-position model. Lineage: Bacteria; Bacillati; Bacillota; Bacilli; Caryophanales; Staphylococcaceae. The record is from RNAcentral.